Molecule: non-coding RNA, 73 nt
Organism: Eurytemora carolleeae
Lineage: Eukaryota; Metazoa; Arthropoda; Copepoda; Calanoida; Temoridae
Source: the annotation of a RefSeq genome assembly
CCUUCGAUAGCUCAGUUGCUAGAGUGGUGGACUGUAGAUCCAUAGGUCGCUGGUUCAAAUCCGGCUCGAAGGA